GUCUACGGCCAUGCCUCCCUGAACACGCCCAGUCUCGUCUAAUCUCGGAAGCUAAGCAGGGUCGGGCCUGGUUAAUACUUGGAUGGGAGACCAUCUAGGAAGACCGGGUGCUGUAGGCG
RNAcentral lists this ribosomal RNA (119 nucleotides) under Pteropus alecto (black flying fox). Lineage: Eukaryota; Metazoa; Chordata; Mammalia; Chiroptera; Pteropodidae. The record is from RNAcentral.